RNAcentral lists this ribosomal RNA (495 nucleotides) under uncultured bacterium. RNAcentral describes it as "partial 16S ribosomal RNA". It matches the Rfam family "Bacterial small subunit ribosomal RNA", at positions 28 to 507 of the family's 1533-position model. The record is from RNAcentral.
GACGAACGCUGGCGGCGUGCCUAAUACAUGCAAGUAGAACGCUGAAGGAGGAGCUUGCUUCUCUGGAUGAGUUGCGAACGGGUGAGUAACGCGUAGGUAACCUGCCUGGUAGCGGGGGAUAACUAUUGGAAACGAUAGCUAAUACCGCAUAAUAGUAGAUGUUGCACGACAUUUGCUUAAAAGGUGCAAUUGCAUCACUACCAGAUGGACCUGCGUUGUAUUAGCUAGUUGGUGGGGUAACGGCUCACCAAGGCGACGAUACAUAGCCGACCUGAGAGGGUGAUCGGCCACACUGGGACUGAGACACGGCCCAGACUCCUACGGGAGGCAGCAGUAGGGAAGCUUCGGCAAUGGACGGAAGUCUGACCGAGCAACGCCGCGUGAGUGAAGAAGGUUUUCGGAUCGUAAAGCUCGGUUGUAAGAGAAGAACGAGUGUGAGAGUGGAAAGUUCACACUGUGACGGUAUCUUACCAGAAAGGGACGGCUAACUACGUG